RNAcentral lists this transfer RNA (73 nucleotides) under Anaerolineae bacterium. Its description in RNAcentral is "tRNA-Gly". It matches the Rfam family "tRNA". From Rfam's summary of the family: Transfer RNA (tRNA) molecules are approximately 80 nucleotides in length. Their secondary structure includes four short double-helical elements and three loops (D, anti-codon, and T loops). Further hydrogen bonds mediate the characteristic L-shaped molecular structure. tRNAs have two regions of fundamental functional importance: the anti-codon, which is responsible for specific mRNA codon recognition, and the 3' end, to which the tRNAs corresponding amino acid is attached (by aminoacyl-tRNA synthetases). tRNAs cope with the degeneracy of the genetic code in two manners: having more than one tRNA (with a specific anti-codon) for a particular amino acid; and 'wobble' base-pairing, i.e. permitting non-standard base-pairing at the 3rd anti-codon position. Lineage: Bacteria; Bacillati; Chloroflexota; Anaerolineae. The record is from RNAcentral.
GCGGGUGUAGCUCAGUUGGCAGAGCGUUUGCUUCCCAAGCAAAAUGUCACGGGUUCGAAUCCCGUCACCCGCU